UCUAAUAUGGCAGAUUAGUGCAUUGGAUUUAAACCUCAAAAAUAAAGUUUAUACUUUUUUUAGAA
Molecule: transfer RNA, 65 nt
Filed under: Lethrus raymondi
Lineage: Eukaryota; Metazoa; Arthropoda; Insecta; Coleoptera; Geotrupidae
Description: tRNA-Leu
Rfam family: tRNA
About the family: Transfer RNA (tRNA) molecules are approximately 80 nucleotides in length. Their secondary structure includes four short double-helical elements and three loops (D, anti-codon, and T loops). Further hydrogen bonds mediate the characteristic L-shaped molecular structure. tRNAs have two regions of fundamental functional importance: the anti-codon, which is responsible for specific mRNA codon recognition, and the 3' end, to which the tRNAs corresponding amino acid is attached (by aminoacyl-tRNA synthetases). tRNAs cope with the degeneracy of the genetic code in two manners: having more than one tRNA (with a specific anti-codon) for a particular amino acid; and 'wobble' base-pairing, i.e. permitting non-standard base-pairing at the 3rd anti-codon position.
Source: RNAcentral